GUCUUUGCUGCACUAUAUUCCAGUCCUGAAGAUUUUCCUCAGAGAAUUUUUCAUCUCUUUGUUCCUGAGACUAUAUAUUAGAGG
This 84-nucleotide small RNA is filed under the name Pongo abelii (Sumatran orangutan). RNAcentral describes it as "sense overlapping". Lineage: Eukaryota; Metazoa; Chordata; Mammalia; Primates; Hominidae. The record is from RNAcentral.